RNAcentral lists this ribosomal RNA (231 nucleotides) under uncultured bacterium. RNAcentral describes it as "partial 16S rRNA". It matches the Rfam family "Bacterial small subunit ribosomal RNA", at positions 505 to 735 of the family's 1533-position model. The record is from RNAcentral.
GUGUCAGCAGCCGCGGUAAUACGAAGGGGGCUAGCGUUGUUCGGAAUCACUGGGCGUAAAGCGCACGUAGGCGGAUCUUUAAGUCAGGGGUGAAAUCCCGAGGCUCAACCUCGGAACUGCCUUUGAUACUGGAGGUCUCGAGUUCGGGAGAGGUGAGUGGAACUGCGAGUGUAGAGGUGAAAUUCGUAGAUAUUCGCAAAAACACCAGUGGCGAAGGCGGCUCACUGGCCC